Molecule: transfer RNA, 71 nt
Filed under: Cavia porcellus (domestic guinea pig)
Lineage: Eukaryota; Metazoa; Chordata; Mammalia; Rodentia; Caviidae
Rfam family: tRNA
About the family: Transfer RNA (tRNA) molecules are approximately 80 nucleotides in length. Their secondary structure includes four short double-helical elements and three loops (D, anti-codon, and T loops).
Source: Rfam by way of RNAcentral
GGGGAUGUGGCUCAGUGGCAGAGUUUUGCUUCACAUGCACAAGGCCCUGGGUUCAAUUCCCAGCACCACAA